UGGACUUUAACCUUGAGGAAUACUCACUGGCCAAUCAAGGCCUCCAGGUGGUCUGCCAGUCAGAAAAAGAGGCGGGUUCUUCCGGGUGAUUUUCAUCGGAGUUCGUUGUGUCUGCCAAGGUUUGAAUAGUUCACUAUGACUUACUCUGAGCUCUGCUUUUCGUGCUGUGAGGGAACUUCUGGGAAGCUCCGAAGUCAAGACAUGGGGAGCACUGGGAUGCAGUGACUUAUGAUGAUGUGCUUGUGAUCUUCACUUGGGAAGAGUGGAUUUUGCUGGAUCCUUCCCAGAAGAGUCUCUACAGAGAAGUGAUGCUGGAGACCUACCAGAAUCUCACUGCUAUAGGCUACAGUUGGGGCAUCCAUCACAUUAAAGAAUGUUGCCAAAGUUCUACAAGACAUAGAAGGUAAUUUUCCUGUGCAAGCUGAUACAAUAUGCCUCUGAGGGUAUUUUAAUAUUCUGUAAGUUUUAAAGAAAAGCAAUAUUGUAAAUUAUCAGUCCUUUAUAUGUACCUAUGAUUAUAAUAUUCUCUCAAGACCUUGUAUCUUGAUGUCAGUUAUUUAAUUUGUGUAUUAAGGCAUUCCUCUAAGAAAAAAAUCAAGGAAACAGUACCUUAAGAUAUACCUGUAUUUGAUUUUUAGAUCCAUUAGAGCUCUGCUGUGGAAUUUCCAAUAUGUAUUGUCUCAAAAUGCUUGUAAGUUGCACCUUGAGUGUGAUAAAUAUAUAUAUGUAAACCCUCCUAAUAAGCAAAUAGUCCAAUGUAAAGUUAGUGAUACUCAUCUUCUUGUAGUGACAUUGCUAAGUUUAUUGAUAUUCAGGAAUGUUAUCAUGGAGAAAACUUAAUUGAUGUACCAUAGGUCUAGGAGGAACAAAACGUCAAAUGGUGUGCAUGCAGUGUGGAAUCCUUUUAUUUGCUAUUCUUCUUUUGUUUUUUAAAGAUUGUUUAAUUUUACUUAUGUGAGAACACUGCCCCUGUCUUCAGACACACCAGAAGAGGGCAUCAGAUCCCAUUAUUGUUGGUUGUUAGCCACCAUGUGGUUACUGGGAAAUGCUUUUAAUUGCUGCGCCAUCUCUACAGUUCUGUUAUUCUUCUUUAAUAGGUACUCCCAGUGCCACCAUGGGUAAAAGCCAUGUGAGCAUAGGGUUAUUGGAAGAAGCAAAGUACCAUGUUCUAUUUGAGAACAAUGGGAAGAUCUGUAGUAUUCUCCCUUUGGUAGACUUUCUGAAUAUCGUAGAAGUUUGCAAUUUAUCGUUUUUCUGACAUAACUGGGAACAUCCCCUAAGUCACACUGCAGAAAAUCCCUAUGGGUACUAGAUAUUUGGAAAUUGUUCUGUGUGUCCUAGUUCACAGUCCUAAUGUGAUGUGAUUCACACUACAGGAAAAAUUAUGAACGUAAUCAGUUGUUCUUUACUUUAAAACUUUUACUGGAUUUUUUAUUUACAUUUUGAAUGUUAUUCCUUUUCCUGGUUUCCUGUCCAGAAAACCCACUAGGUCACCUCCCUGAACCCCUGCUAAUAUGAGGGUGUUUCCCACCUCCCCACCCUGACAUUCUCUACACUGAGCUGUGAGUUGUUCCCUUUUCUUCAGAUACAUGAAAUAUAUCAUAUAGAAGUCUCAUAUAGAAAGAGGGUGUUAUAAUUGUGUCCGUGUAAUAAAUGCUCUUACUAUCACAGGUAUAUUCAAAGAGGCAAAACAAUCCUUAUGUUGGAGAACACCAUGAACAUGCAAAAAUGAUAAAAACUUCAGAUCUGAUUCUUUUUUUUUUUUUUUUUGUGGAAGCUCUAGUGUCACAGUGUAUCUCAUAGUAUAUCCUUUUGUCCACAUCUCUUUUAUUCAUUGCAGAAGCUAUAGUGUGUCACAGUGUAUCCCACAGUAUAUCCUUUUGUCCACACCUCUUUUCUUGCAAACAGCAUAUAUUUUUUGAUGGAUUUUAUUAUGAUGUUUUCGCUCAAGUAUAUGAUGUGAUUUGAACAUUUUCACCUUCAUUACUUCCCCUGCUAGUCUGCUUCCUCUUUCUAAUGUCCCAUAUACUUUAAUGUCACACAUGUAGUGUGCAUAUACACAUGCACACUUGACUCCAAAUCUGGGAGAAAACAUGCACCAUUUAUCUUUCUGAAUUUAGACUAUUUUUAAAUAUGGACAUCCAUUGUUGUGAAAUUUGUAGAAUUUCUAUACCUUUAAAAAUUAAUAUAAGUCCAUUGUGUAAGUGUACCACUUUUUUAAUCUAUUGAGAGAAUAUCUUGAGUUAUGUAUUGCUUUAAUAAACAGGAAUGCACAGC
Molecule: non-coding RNA, 2277 nt
Organism: Rattus norvegicus (Norway rat)
Lineage: Eukaryota; Metazoa; Chordata; Mammalia; Rodentia; Muridae
Source: RefSeq, a predicted model, not a curated record